Long non-coding RNA from Gymnogyps californianus (California condor), 184 nucleotides. RefSeq lists it as uncharacterized. NCBI's taxonomy places the organism in Eukaryota, Metazoa, Chordata, Aves, Accipitriformes, Cathartidae. The transcript is spliced from 3 exons. The record is from RefSeq and is a predicted model, not a curated record.
CCCACCAGAAGGGCAGGAGGGUCCUGAGGCUCCUUUUCCUGCUGCUUCCCGUCCUGUCUGCUGUUGUCUACUGCUGGGGCUCAACGGUGUGGGGAAAGGGAGCGUUGCGGUCUCCUUAGCGCCUGGAUCGAGUUCAACACAGAGACGGAUCUUCCCGAGUGACCUCCGCAGGGUGGCAGGCUGA